GAUGAACGCUAGCGGCAGGCCUAAUACAUGCAAGUCGAGGGAGAAUGUUGGAUUCGUCUGACAUGAAACCGUCGCACGGGGGCGUAACACGUAUGCAACCUACCUUUAACUGGGGUAUAGCUCAGAGAAAUCUGAAUUAAUCCCCCAUAAGACUACGACAUGGCAUCAUGAUGUAGUUAAAGCUCCAGCCGCUACGGAUGGGCAUGCGGUACAUUAGCUAGUUGGUGAGGUAAUGGCUCACCAAGGUCACGAUGUAUAGGGGGUCUGAGAGGAUGAUCCCCCACACUGGUACUGAGACACAGACCAGACUCCUACGGGAGGCAGCAGUAGGGAAUAUUGGUCAAUGGACGCAAGUCUGAACCAGCCAUGCCGCGUGAAGGAUGAAGGCCCUAUGGGUCGUAAACUUCUUUUAUUAGGGAAGAAAAAACGGGAUGCGUCCUGUACUGACGGUACUUAAUGAAUAAGGAUCGGCUAACUUCGUGCCAGCCGCCGCAGUAA
This 498-nucleotide ribosomal RNA is filed under the name uncultured bacterium. Its description in RNAcentral is "partial 16S ribosomal RNA". It matches the Rfam family "Bacterial small subunit ribosomal RNA", at positions 28 to 523 of the family's 1533-position model. The record is from RNAcentral.